Molecule: ribosomal RNA, 468 nt
Filed under: uncultured bacterium
Lineage: Bacteria
Description: bacterial SSU rRNA
Rfam family: Bacterial small subunit ribosomal RNA
Source: RNAcentral
UUCCAGACUCCUACGGGAGGCAGCAGUGAGGAAUAUUGGUCAAUGGCCGGGAGGCUGAACCAGCCAAGUCGCGUGAGGGAAGACAGCCCUACGGGUUGUAAACCUCUUUUGUCAGGGAGCAAGGUGCAGGUCGGGACCUGCUGUGAGAGUACCUGAAGAAAAAGCAUCGGCUAACUCCGUGCCAGCAGCCGCGGUAAUACGGAGGGUGCGAGCGUUAAUCGGAAUUACUGGGCGUAAAGCGCUCGUAGGCGGUAUGUCAAGUCAAGGGUGAAAUCCCCGCGCUCAACGUGGGAACUGCCUUUGAAACUGGCAAACUGGAGUGUGUGAGAGGAUAGUGGAAUUCCAGGUGUAGGAGUGAAAUCCGUAGAUAUCUGGAGGAACAUCAGUGGCGAAGGCGACUAUCUGGCACAUAACUGACGCUGAGGAGCGAAUGCGUGGGUAGCAAACAGGAUUAGAUACCCGGGUAGG